RNAcentral lists this ribosomal RNA (244 nucleotides) under uncultured Staphylococcus sp. RNAcentral describes it as "partial 16S ribosomal RNA". It matches the Rfam family "Bacterial small subunit ribosomal RNA", at positions 96 to 334 of the family's 1533-position model. The record is from RNAcentral. Lineage: Bacteria; Bacillati; Bacillota; Bacilli; Caryophanales; Staphylococcaceae.
CGGCGGACGGGUGAGUAACACGUGGAUAACCUACCUAUAAGACUGGGAUAACUUCGGGAAACCGGAGCUAAUACCGGAUAAUAUAUUGAACCGCAUGGUUCAAUAGUGAAAGACGGUUUUGCUGUCACUUAUAGAUGGAUCCGCGUCGCAUUAGCUAGUUGGUAAGGUAACGGCUUACCAAGGCAACGAUACGUAGCCGACCUGAGAGUGUGAUCGGCCACACUGGAACUGAGACACGGUCCAG